UACGAAGGGGGCUAGCGUUGCUCGGAAUUACUGGGCGUAAAGCGCACGUAGGCGGAUUGUUAAGUCGGGGGUGAAAUCCUGGAGCUCAACUCCAGAACUGCCUUCGAUACUGGCGAUCUCGAGUCCGGGAGAGGUGAGUGGAACUGCGAGUGUAGAGGUGAAAUUCGUAGAUAUUCGCAAGAACACCAGUGGCGAAGGCGGCUCACUGGCCCGGUACUGACGCUGAGGUGCGAAAGCGUGGGGAGCAAACAGG
This 253-nucleotide ribosomal RNA is filed under the name uncultured bacterium. Its description in RNAcentral is "partial 16S ribosomal RNA". It matches the Rfam family "Bacterial small subunit ribosomal RNA", at positions 524 to 776 of the family's 1533-position model. The record is from RNAcentral.